Molecule: long non-coding RNA, 497 nt
Organism: Mugil cephalus (flathead mullet)
Lineage: Eukaryota; Metazoa; Chordata; Actinopteri; Mugiliformes; Mugilidae
Exons: 2
Source: RefSeq, a predicted model, not a curated record
UAUAAUUAUGCGGCUGGGCGUGGCCAGGAGCCAAUUAUGAUGGGGUCGUGGAUAAAAGAGCGGCCCCUCCUACGCCUCCUCCCUCUGUCUCCCGCUGGCGUAAUUUCCGGGACGUCCUGUGUGGCUGCAACAGGUAACUCCGGGGGCCGCGUACGUUUUUGCCAGUUUUGUAUUUGCGGGAGCCUUAACUAUUUCUUGUGCUGUGACAAAGGGGCUGUGGGUGGAUUCUGGCUCCAUGUGGUCUCCUUGUCUGGGGCUGACGGCCUGUAGUGGUGUGGGUGAUCGUAGGAGAUCCUCCUGUCUGCUGUGCCGUUUCCAGGGAUGUGGGUCGUUCACGGGUGUGCUCUUUUCACGUGUGUCUGGGGGAACUUUUACUUUGGGGACCCCUCCUUUCGCUUGCCCUAGCUACUUUUAGGCCGAAGCCCUUGAUUAACUUUUGUUUUUUGCAUUUUCUUUUGUUUGGAUCCUUUGUAUUAAUAAAAUAUUAUUGUGACUAA